UGGGGAAUAUUGCACAAUGGGCGAAAGCCUGAUGCAGCGACGCCGCGUGGAGGAUGACGGCCUUCGGGUUGUAAACUCCUUUCAGCAGGGACGAAGAGUGAUUGACGGUACCUGCAGAAGAAGCACCGGCCAACUACGUGCCAGCAGCCGCGGUAAUACGUAGGGUGCAAGCGUUGUCCGGAAUUACUGGGCGUAAAGAGCUCGUAGGCGGUUUGUCGCGUCGUCUGUGAAAACCAGCAGCUCAACUGUUGGCUUGCAGGCGAUACGGGCAGACUUGAGUAUUUCAGGGGAGACUGGAAUUCCGGGUGUAGCGGUGAAAUGCGCAGAUAUCAGGAGGAACACCGGUGGCGAAGGCGGGUCUCUGGGAAAUAACUGACGCUGAGGGACGAAAGCGUGGGUAGCGAACA
This 407-nucleotide ribosomal RNA is filed under the name uncultured prokaryote. RNAcentral describes it as "bacterial SSU rRNA". It matches the Rfam family "Bacterial small subunit ribosomal RNA", at positions 355 to 774 of the family's 1533-position model. The record is from RNAcentral.